GACAGAGGGUGCAAACGUUGUUCGGAAUUACUGGGCGUAAAGCGUGUGUAGGCGGUUUCCUAAGUCAGGUGUGAAAGCCCCGGGCUCAACCCGGGAAGUGCACUUGAAACUGGGAGGCUAGAGUAUCGGAGAGGUUGGUGGAAUUCUCGGUGUAGAGGUGAAAUUCGUAGAUAUCGAGAGGAACACCGGUGGCGAAGGCGGCCUGCUGGGCAGUUACUGACACUGAUGCGCGACAGCGUGGGGAGCAAACAGG
Molecule: ribosomal RNA, 253 nt
Filed under: uncultured bacterium
Lineage: Bacteria
Description: partial 16S ribosomal RNA
Rfam family: Bacterial small subunit ribosomal RNA
Source: RNAcentral